GUGACUCUGGGUUUGUAUGCGAUCAUCAGUCAGCUCAGAACUGAAGCGGUCAAGGGGAAUCUAACUGUUUAAUAAAAACAAAGCUUUGUGAUGUCCCGAAAGGGUUUUGACACAAUGUGAUUUCUGCCCAGUGCUUUGAACGUUAACGUGAAGAAAUUCAACUAAGCGCAGGUAAACGGCAGGUGUAACUAUAACACUUUUAAGGUAGCCAAAUGCCUCGUCAUCUAAUUAGUGACGUGCAUGAAUGGAUCAAUGAGAUUCCUACUGUCCCAAAUGACCAUCUAACGAACCCACAGCCAAGGGAACGGGCUUGGCAAAAUCAGCGGGGAAAGAAGACCCUGUUGAGCUUUGAAGAAGAGUGGCAUUGUGACGUGGCAAUUGGGGAUAUAGUGUAGGUGGGAGGUUCGCCAACAAUGUAACACCACUACUCAUUUCGUCAUUUUUACUAAUUCCGUAAAGCGGAAUCCUUCGGGACUUCUUGCACUAAGGUUCGUAAGAACUGAUCUGGGCGGAAGACAGUGUCAUCCGA
This 529-nucleotide ribosomal RNA is filed under the name uncultured eukaryote. Its description in RNAcentral is "eukaryotic LSU rRNA". It matches the Rfam family "Eukaryotic large subunit ribosomal RNA", at positions 2074 to 2615 of the family's 3401-position model. The record is from RNAcentral.